UUCGCCUGUUUUAUCAAAAACAUCGCCUCUUGUUUAAAUAUAAGAGGUCCAGCCUGCCCAGUGAUAAUUUAUUCAACGGCCGCGUAAUUUAAAGCGCGCGAAGGUAGCGUAAUCACUUGUUCUUUAAAUGAGGACUUGAAUCAACGGCACCACGAGGGCUGUACUGUCUCCUUCUCCCAAUCAGUGAAACUAAUCUCCCUGUGAAAAAGCAGGAAUACUACUAUAAGACGAGAAGACCCCAUGGAGCUUUAAACAUAACAACAUCUUUAAAUCUUAAUUAUAUCUUCUUAACCUGAAAGCAUUGUGUGUUAGUUUUAGGUUGGGGCGACCGCGGAGUAUAACAUAACCUCCAUAACGAAAGGGAAUGCACCCUUAUCUAAGAAAAACACUUCUACAAAUUAUUAAUAUAACGUUUAAUGACCCGAUCAUCGAUUAACGAACCAAGUUACCCUGGGGAUAACAGCGCAAUCCAUUUUGAGAGCUCAUAUUGACAAAUGGGUUUACGACCUCGAUGUUGGAUNCAGGGUAUCCCCAGUGGUGCAGCCGCUACUAAAGGUUGUUUUCAACAAAAUUCUUA
RNAcentral lists this ribosomal RNA (577 nucleotides) under Occidozyga sp. voucher 009 HAR-2019. RNAcentral's name for it is "partial large subunit ribosomal RNA". It matches the Rfam family "Bacterial large subunit ribosomal RNA", at positions 1795 to 2599 of the family's 2925-position model. Lineage: Eukaryota; Metazoa; Chordata; Amphibia; Anura; Dicroglossidae. The record is from RNAcentral.